This 434-nucleotide long non-coding RNA is filed under the name Micromonas commoda. RNAcentral describes it as "long non-coding RNA (MCOM_LNC000262)". Lineage: Eukaryota; Viridiplantae; Chlorophyta; Mamiellophyceae; Mamiellales; Mamiellaceae. The record is from RNAcentral.
AUGAUGGCGUCGCGGCACUUUCAUUGGCGUUGCAGAUGUGUACUUCUGUGAUUAGCCUCGACCUGAGGGACAACAAGCUCGGAUCAGAGGGUUUCAGGGCAGUCGCGCACGGACUGUCGAAGAAUCCACACGUGAAGAUUUUAAACCUGUCAAACAACCCUGGACCCGGUCGCGACGGGGUCGCGGCUAUCGGGCGGGUGCUUGACCCUUCUUUCCUGGCUCAGCCCGCCGUCGUGGAACUGCGCCUCGCUAACUGCAACCUUUCAGACGCCGAGGGCGCGAUGCUGCUGCAUGCGAUGAGGAGUAAUGACAGCGUCCGCGUCCUGGACCUGUCCAACAACAAUCUUGGUCUGCAGACAUCGAGAGCUAUGCGUGCCUUUGUCGAGGAUAAUCACACGUGUGCUUACUUCGACUUGAGCGGCAACAGUUUUAAC